Arachis ipaensis is the source of this 596-nucleotide non-coding RNA. The record is from RefSeq and is a predicted model, not a curated record. Lineage: Eukaryota; Viridiplantae; Streptophyta; Magnoliopsida; Fabales; Fabaceae.
UGUCGUGCGCCGUCGCCGCCGCACCUGGGCAUCGCUGCUGCAAGCUCACGUUGCCGCGUCGCUGUGCCAUCAUCACCAUGGAUCUUCUCUGUUCGUGACCUAAGCUAAGGGAGGAGAGAUGAACGCGUCGAAGAGGGGCAUAACUUGGGUCCCGUCGCCGCCGUCCAUGGACCUCGAGCCGCGUUGCUGUUACCGGCAAGAGGGGGAAGACGCGAGCUGGAGAAGCAAGAUGAGUCCUUCUGCCUCCGUUGCUUUGGUCCGCUGAGAAAGAGAAGGUGCUGCCUUUGUGCUUCCCUGUCGCCGACGAACACGGAGAAGAGGAGCUGUGGCCGCAUCACUACCGUUUAGAGGACUGUGCUUGGCCGCCGUUGUACCGCCCUACUUCACCGUGGCUGAGCUCUGCCAUUCCCUACCCCUUUUGGUGUGUGAUGUUGUUACGGGAAUCGCUAUAGGAAGAGGAGCAGGCUGAGUCACCAUGAUUUGGGCCGCUCUGACUUCCGGGAUCACCGACGGAGCUCCGGGCUGAGCUUCUCCCACUUGAGACCCUGCUGCCGCUGCUGGAAGAGUUUGCCGUUGAGACACCGGAGUUUCUGGCA